This 483-nucleotide ribosomal RNA is filed under the name uncultured bacterium. Its description in RNAcentral is "partial 16S ribosomal RNA". It matches the Rfam family "Bacterial small subunit ribosomal RNA", at positions 30 to 507 of the family's 1533-position model. The record is from RNAcentral.
AUUGAACGCUGGCGGCAGGCCUAACACAUGCAAGUCGAGCGGAUGAAGGGAGCUUGCUCCUGGAUUCAGCGGCGGACGGGUGAGUAAUGCCUAGGAAUCUGCCUGGUAGUGGGGGAUAACGUCCGGAAACGGGCGCUAAUACCGCAUACGUCCUGAGGGAGAAAGUGGGGGAUCUUCGGACCUCACGCUAUCAGAUGAGCCUAGGUCGGAUAGCCAGUUGGUGGGGUAAAGGCCUACCAAGGCGACGAUCCGUAACUGGUCUGAGAGGAUGAUCAGUCACACUGGAACUGAGACACGGUCCAGACUCCUACGGGAGGCAGCAGUGGGGAAUAUUGGACAAUGGGCGAAAGCCUGAUCCAGCCAUGCCGCGUGUGUGAAGAAGGUCUUCGGAUUGUAAAGCACUUUAAGUUGGGAGGAAGGGCAGUAAGUUAAUACCUUGCUGUUUUGACGUUACCAACAGAAUAAGCACCGGCUAACUUCGUG